RNAcentral lists this non-coding RNA (29 nucleotides) under Mus musculus (house mouse). Lineage: Eukaryota; Metazoa; Chordata; Mammalia; Rodentia; Muridae. The record is from RNAcentral.
UUCAAUGUAAAGUGUCUAGUGCACAUCCU